AGAGCUAAUACAUGCACCAAAGCUCUGACCUUGCGGAAAGAGUGCAUUUAUUAGAGCAAAACCAAGCGACUUCGGUCGUUUAAUGCUGACUCAGAAUAACUCAGCUGAUCGUACGGUCUUUGAACCGGCGACGUGUCUUUUGAGUAUCUGCCUUAUCAAUUUUCGAUGGUAGUGUAUCUGACUACCAUGGUGUUGACGGGUAACGGAGAAUAAGGGUUCGACUCCGGAGAAGGGGCCUGAGAAAUGGCCACUACGUCUAAGGAUGGCAGCAGGCGCGCAAAUUACCCACUCUCAGUACGAGGAGGUAGUGACGAGAAAUAACGAGACCGUUCUCUUAGAGGCCGGUUAUCGGAAUGGGUACAAUUUAAACCCUUUAACGAGUAUCUAUGAGAGGGCAAGUCUGGUGCCAGCAGCCGCGGUAAUUCCAGCUCUCAAAAUGCAUAGAACCAUUGCUGCGGUUAAAAAGCUCGUAGUUGAAUCUUUGCCAGAGACUUGGUCGACUCCUUUGAGCGCGUACUAAGUUCUUUGGCUUUUACCGUCGGUUUUCUUGUUGUCGCCUUUAUUGGUGGUGGCAAGUGGCUGACAAUUUUACUUUGAACAAAUCA
This 605-nucleotide ribosomal RNA is filed under the name Howardula sp. 212 #3 JPD-2022. RNAcentral describes it as "SSU rRNA". It matches the Rfam family "Eukaryotic small subunit ribosomal RNA", at positions 160 to 768 of the family's 1831-position model. The record is from RNAcentral. Lineage: Eukaryota; Metazoa; Nematoda; Chromadorea; Rhabditida; Allantonematidae.